RNAcentral lists this ribosomal RNA (487 nucleotides) under uncultured bacterium. RNAcentral's name for it is "bacterial SSU rRNA". It matches the Rfam family "Bacterial small subunit ribosomal RNA", at positions 355 to 856 of the family's 1533-position model. The record is from RNAcentral.
UGGGGAAUCUUGGACAAUGGGGGCAACCCUGAUCCAGCCAUGCCGCGUGAGUGAUGAAGGCCUUAGGGUCGUAAAGCUCUUUCGCCUGUGAAGAUAAUGACGGUAGCAGGUAAAGAAACCCCGGCUAACUCCGUGCCAGCAGCCGCGGUAAUACGGAGGGGGUUAGCGUUGUUCGGAAUUACUGGGCGUAAAGCGCACGUAGGCGGACCAGAAAGUUGGGGGUGAAAUCCCGGGGGCUCAACCCCGGAACUGCCUCCAAAACUAUUGGUCUAGAGUUCGAGAGAGGUGAGUGGAAUUCCAAGUGUAGAGGUGAAAUUCGUAGAUAUUUGGAGGAACACCAGUGGCGAAGGCGGCUCACUGGCUCGAUACUGACGCUGAGGUGCGAAAGUGUGGGGAGCAAAACAGGAUUAGAUACCCUGGUAGUCCACACCGUAAAACGAUGAAAUGCCAGUCGUCGGGUAGCAUGCUAUUCGGUGACACACCUAAC